GAUGAACGCUGGCGGCGUGCCUAAUACAUGCAAGUCGAGCGAACCACUUCGGUGGUGAGCGGCGAACGGGUGAGUAACACGUAGGUGAUCUGCCCAUCAGACGGGGACAACGAUUGGAAACGAUCGCUAAUACCGGAUAGGACGAAAGUUUAAAGGUGCUUCUGGCACCGCUGAUGGAUGAGCCUGCGGCGCAUUAGCUAGUUGGUAGGGUAAAGGCCUACCAAGGCGACGAUGCGUAGCCGACCUGAGAGGGUGAACGGCCACACUGGGACUGAGACACGGCCCAGACUCCUACGGGAGGCAGCAGUAGGGAAUCUUCGGCAAUGGGCGAAAGCCUGACCGAGCAACGCCGCGUGAAUGAUGAAGGCCUUCGGGUUGUAAAAUUCUGUUAUAAGGGAAGAACGACUUUAGUAGGAAAUGGCUAGAGUGUGACGGUACCUUAUGAGAAAGCCACGGCUAACUACGUGCCAGCAGCCGCGGUAAUACGUAGGUGGCGAGCGUUAUCCGGAAUUAUUGGGCGUAAAGAGCGCGCAGGUGGUUGAUUAAGUCUGAUGUGAAAGCCCACGGCUUAACCGUGGAGGGUCAUUGGAAACUGGUCGACUUGAGUGCAGAAGAGGGAAGUGGAAUUC
RNAcentral lists this ribosomal RNA (629 nucleotides) under uncultured Bacillota bacterium. RNAcentral describes it as "bacterial SSU rRNA". It matches the Rfam family "Bacterial small subunit ribosomal RNA", at positions 28 to 669 of the family's 1533-position model. Lineage: Bacteria; Bacillati; Bacillota. The record is from RNAcentral.